GACGAACGCUGGCGGCGUGCUUAACACAUGCAAGUCGAACGAAGAGCGAUGGAAGCUUGCUUCUAUCAAUCUUAGUGGCGAACGGGUGAGUAACGCGUAAUCAACCUGCCCUUCAGAGGGGGACAACAGUUGGAAACGACUGCUAAUACCGCAUACGAUCUAAUCUCGGCAUCGAGGAUAGAUGAAAGGUGGCCUCUACAUGUAAGCUAUCACUGAAGGAGGGGAUUGCGUCUGAUUAGCUAGUUGGAGGGGUAACGGCCCACCAAGGCGAUGAUCAGUAGCCGGUCUGAGAGGAUGAACGGCCACAUUGGGACUGAGACACGGCCCAGACUCCUACGGGAGGCAGCAGUGGGGAAUCUUCCGCAAUGGACGAAAGUCUGACGGAGCAACGCCGCGUGAGUGAUGACGGCCUUCGGGUUGUAAAGCUCUGUUAAUCGGGACGAAAGGCCUUCUUGCGAAUAGUGAGAAGGAUGA
Molecule: ribosomal RNA, 474 nt
Filed under: uncultured bacterium
Lineage: Bacteria
Description: bacterial SSU rRNA
Rfam family: Bacterial small subunit ribosomal RNA
Source: RNAcentral